RNA transcript from Dermacentor silvarum, 2469 nucleotides. RefSeq lists it as uncharacterized. The record is from RefSeq and is a predicted model, not a curated record. The transcript has 4 exons. NCBI's taxonomy places the organism in Eukaryota, Metazoa, Arthropoda, Arachnida, Ixodida, Ixodidae.
CGUGUGCUCCCAGAGCCAGUCUACCUACCCCUCGCUGCUUAACUUCCAACCUUGCUCGAACCUCUGAUCUCAUGCACAGGACCGCAUUGCCGAAAGUCAAACUAGGGACCAUCACCCCUUUCCAAAUCCCUCUCACCACUUCGUACCUAUUGUAAUUCCACAGUGCCCUAUUUUUCAUCACAGCUGCAUUUCUGCUACCUUUAGCCGUCACAUAUUUUUCAUGUUCCGUUAGGUACUCAGCCCCAUUGUUUAUCCACACUCCAAGAUAUUUGUACUUAUCCACCACCUCCAGCGUAACCUCCUGUAUCCUAUGCUCGCUGCCCUGAUUAUCAUUAAAAGUCAUGACUGCCGAUUUUUCUUUACUAAACUUCAAACCUAAGCUAUCUCCCUCUUUACCACAGAUGUCCAUUAAUCUCUGCAAGUCUUCCUUGCUGUCAGCCAUAAGUACAAUGUCAUCUGCAUACAUCAGUCCUGGUAAUGACUGUUUAAUCCAUUCUCCCUGCUUGAAAUAGGAAAGGUUGAAGCCAAGUCCGCUCCUCUCUAAUUUUUUCUCUAAUCCUUGUAAAUACAGCAUGAACAACAGAGGUGACAGAGGGCACCCCUGCCUAAGCCCCUGCUGUAUCUCUAUAGGCCCAGAUACCUUGUUUUCCCAUUUUAUAAGCACCCUGUUACUUUUAUAGAUAUCUUUUAAAAGAUUUCUUACUCCAUCUUCCACCUCUAGAGUGCCCAGUAUGUCCCACAAAUCCUUUUGGAUUACACUGUCAUAGGCUCCCUUGAUAUCCAGAAAGGCAAGCCAUAGGGGCCUGUGUUCCUUUUCUGCUAUUUCAAUACACUGUGUCAAUGAGAACAGAUUAUCUUCUAACCUUCUUUGUUCGCACACUAGGAGCACACAGCCGCACUGCAGCGCUCCUAGCGGCAGCGGCCGACAUUCAUUGCAAACGGUGCCACUCGGGAGGCUGCGGUUGGCACACUAGCCAGUAUAGUCUAGGCACUAUAGUUCGGCUACAGUGUAACGUUUGUUCGGCCCACUCGACCAUUGUCUAUAAUAGUACACUCUAGAAAAAACCAUGGAGGAAGAAAAAAAAAACGGUCGCUGGCGUACGCAAGCAAUGUCUCGUUCGUAGGUUCGUACAUUGCGCUAGUUGUGUGCUGUUCUAAGCUGUUCUAUACAUUUAUUUGAUAUCAACUAGCUGUGCCGACGCUGUUUGCCAUGUGUUUUGUGUGAUGUAGCGGUUUCGGUUUUGAAACCCACAUAAUCCGCACCCAGGGGACGCUGUUUGCAACUACGCCCGCCUAUAUAAGGACUUGUUUCCAAAACGAGUUCGUCUUAUUAUCCUGUCCCAGACUUCCUUAGGUCAAUGUGUCUGUGAGUUUCCCGCGUGCCUUGCGUGGCAUGCAUGGCCGCCACGCCGAUACAACAGUUUUGCAUCAGUGGUUUGUGACUUCGGCUGUAUUGCGUUUUUUCGCCGACGGCUUACUACCACAAUGGCGGGGUCUGCGUUCGCUACCUUCGUUCUCGAUCCGCCUUUGUACGUCGCACAUUCGAUAGCACUUUUUCAGACGGCGGGACAUCUUGGUGUCUGAGCGCCAGCUGGAUGGGCGGGACCUCAUCAUUAUGAUCAGUGAUGUAUGUUUUGCUGCUUGGAUUGAUAAAACAUGGGCCAAGGUUUCCAUACAAGAACAAAGUUCAAUUUGGCUGUACCACCAUCAGUGCUUGGGUGGCGCCUGCCGAAUGAAUCAUCGUAGAUUUUGCUUGCCUCAUCGACAGGCGUGAACAUAUCAAGUGCACUUCACGCUUGUCGUUUCUCGUGGCCGGGAAGUGUCACCGUCGGUCACCUGGGACUGAUGGAUGAGCAAUUAGUCCCCAGACUGGAAUGGGUCCUCGGCCUCGUGCAUAGCUGAAACGGCAACGAGAGACCCUUGGUGUGUUUCCGUGAAUUACCAGCGCCACCCGAACUACGACUAGUCCCGGCGCCGACUGCGACGCGCCAACCUGGAGCCCUUUCGAGACAACAGCCACCGACCCCUGGAAAUGGUGGCUUCCGUGAACUGCCCGCUACGGAGAGGCGACUCUUGCAAAGGGUCAGCAUCUACCAAUCCUGUGGGAGCCAGAUCAACGUUCGGUUCCCAAGGUGUCGACUGCUGCCUGUGUUCGGGGGCGACCUGGCAAGAUUGGAGGCGGAGCCCAGCGGGAAACGAUGGCACAUCAUGUUCGGGAUAUGGCGACCUGGUCCAAGAUGGUGAUUGGCUAAGAACUAAAGUGCAUUGCCUCGUCGAGUGAAGGAGAGGAAACGAAAGGGAUAAAACAAUGGGACUUGAGUGUUGUGAAGACGCUCUAUGUUGAAUGCUUGGAGAUGUAAACGCUACUACGUGCAAAGAUGUUAGCAUGUAGACUGCUCCAAUAUCGUGAAGCCCUUCUUGUAAAAUACCACAUGUAAAUUUGUAUAUAAAACAGUUUUUUGAUCUCUC